UACGGGGGGAGCAAGCGUUGUUCGGAUUUACUGGGCGUAAAGGGCGCGUAGGCGGUCGUGACAAGUCACUUGUGAAAUCUCCGGGCUUAACUCGGAACGGUCAAGUGAUACUGUCGGACUAGAGUACAGAAGGGGCAACUGGAAUUCUCGGUGUAGCGGUGAAAUGCGUAGAUAUCGAGAGGAACACCUGCGGCGAAGGCAGGGUCUCUGGGCCACUACUGACGCUGAGAG
Molecule: ribosomal RNA, 231 nt
Filed under: uncultured bacterium
Lineage: Bacteria
Description: partial 16S ribosomal RNA
Rfam family: Bacterial small subunit ribosomal RNA
Source: RNAcentral